This 28-nucleotide small RNA is filed under the name Bombyx mori (domestic silkworm). RNAcentral describes it as "ovarian small RNA-15301". The record is from RNAcentral. Lineage: Eukaryota; Metazoa; Arthropoda; Insecta; Lepidoptera; Bombycidae.
GAAUGACCCCGACUAUGGUUUGCCCAAA